RNAcentral lists this ribosomal RNA (403 nucleotides) under uncultured Pseudomonadota bacterium. RNAcentral describes it as "uncultured proteobacterium partial 16S ribosomal RNA". It matches the Rfam family "Bacterial small subunit ribosomal RNA", at positions 355 to 774 of the family's 1533-position model. The record is from RNAcentral. Lineage: Bacteria; Pseudomonadati; Pseudomonadota.
UAGGGAAUUUUGCGCAAUGGGGGAAACCCUGACGCAGCAACGCCGCGUGAAUGACGAAGCCCUUCGGGGUGUAAAGUUCUGUCAGUGGGGAAGAAUUUUGACUGUACCCACAAAGGAAGCACCGGCUAACUCCGUGCCAGCAGCCGCGGUAAUACGGAGGGUGCAAGCGUUGUCCGGAAUCAUUGGGCGUAAAGCGUUCGUAGGCGGCAUAUCAAGUCUGGUGUUAAAGCCCGGGGCUCAACUCCGGUUCGGCACUGGAUACUGAUAAGCUAGAAUGAGGUAGGGGUAAUGGGAAUUCCUGGUGUAGCGGUGAAAUGCGUAGAUAUCAGGAGGAACAUCGGUGGCGUAAGCGCAUUACUGGGCCUUUAUUGACGCUGAGGAACGAAAGCCGGGGGAGCAAAUG